Molecule: long non-coding RNA, 271 nt
Filed under: Elaeis guineensis (African oil palm)
Lineage: Eukaryota; Viridiplantae; Streptophyta; Magnoliopsida; Arecales; Arecaceae
Description: long non-coding RNA (EGUI_LNC065284)
Source: RNAcentral
GAUCCUUAAUUAUAGUUUAAAUCUGAUCUAAGAUAUGUUUAGAAGAUUAAAAUAUUUAAUUUUUUAUUAUUUUACUAUAAAAUUUUAAAAAUACAUGCUUUGAACUAUCUAUUUUUUCUUCAAGGAUCGGCCCCGAUUUUAGCCAGAAAUGGGGUAAGAUACUUCUUGACCUUUAUAGAUGAUUUCUCAAAGAAGGUAUGGGUCUACUUCAUGAAGAAGAAAUCAAAAAUCUUCACCAAAUUCAAAGUAUGAAAAGUUGAGGUAGAGAAGG